UCGGGAAUUUUGGGCAAUGGGCGAAAGCCUGACCCAGCAACGCCGCGUGAAGGACGAAGUCUCUCGGGAUGUAAACUUCGUAAGAAUAGGAAGAAUAAAUGACGGUACUAUUUGUAAGGUCCGGCUAACUACGUGCCAGCAGCCGCGGUAAUACGUAGGGACCAAGCGUUGUUCGGAUUUACUGGGCGUAAAGGGCGCGUAGGCGGCGUGGUAAGUCACUUGUGAAAUCUCCGAGCUUAACUCGGAACGGUCAAGUGAUACUGCUGUGCUAGAGUACAGAAGGGGCAAUCGGAAUUCUUGGUGUAGCGGUGAAAUGCGUAGAUAUCAAGAGGAACACCUGAGGUGAAGACGGGUUGCUGGGCUGAUACUGACGCUGAGGCGCGAAAGCUAGGGUAGCAAACGGGAUUAGAUACCCCGGUAGUCCCUGAGCGGGCUGGCAAGGCGCAU
This 447-nucleotide ribosomal RNA is filed under the name uncultured bacterium. Its description in RNAcentral is "bacterial SSU rRNA". It matches the Rfam family "Bacterial small subunit ribosomal RNA", at positions 355 to 825 of the family's 1533-position model. The record is from RNAcentral.